UACGGAAGGCAGCAGUGGGGAAUAUUGCACAAUGGGCGCAAGCCUGAUGCAGCCAUGCCGCGUGUAUGAAGAAGGCCUUCGGGUUGUAAAGUACUUUCAGUCGUGAGGAAGGUGUUAAGGUUAAUAACCUUAGCAAUUGACGUUAGCGACAGAAGAAGCACCGGCUAACUCCGUGUCAGCAGCCGCGGUAAUACGGAGGGUGCGAGCGUUAAUCGGAAUUACUGGGCGUAAAGGGCACGCAGGCGGUUAAUUAAGUUGGAUGUGAAAUCCCCGGGCUUAACCUGGGAAUGGCAUUCAAGACUGGUUAGCUAGAGUCUUGUAGAGGGGGUAGAAUUCCAUGUGUAGCGGUGAAAUGCGUAGAGAUGUGGAGGAAUACCGGUGGCGAAGGCGGCCCCUGGACAAAGACUGACGCUCAUGUGCGAAAGCGUGGGGAGCAAACAGGAUUAGAUA
RNAcentral lists this ribosomal RNA (450 nucleotides) under uncultured bacterium. RNAcentral's name for it is "bacterial SSU rRNA". It matches the Rfam family "Bacterial small subunit ribosomal RNA", at positions 340 to 784 of the family's 1533-position model. The record is from RNAcentral.